CAGUUUCCUCUACUUCCCAUGACUUACUCUGCAAACAGGGCGGAUAUGCACUGCCUGGGAGUGGUAGCUGGUGUGGAACAAGCGAUCUGCCUUCAGCAGCACAGAGAGGCCUGCCUGGAGGAGACGGAAAGAGGCUGUAAGCAAAUUGAGGACAAUGACCAGUCUGGGCCAUCUAUGUGCUUCCCAUGACACCAUGGAAAGCACCUCAUACAUCAGAGCUGAAAUGAACUCACUGAUCUUCCUUGAAGGUGCUCGGCUGGGCAAAACAAUGCCUACUGCCCUGUGUAUACCCUGGGAACAAAGCUCUACUCCCGUGGACUAACUGCCUACUGGAAAUGCUGUCCCCAAGAGCAGUCGCAGGAUAACAACACCUUCCCAGCAACAUUCCCUCCAUGGCUUGUAACGGGCCCCAAGGUGUGCACUCACUUAGUGACAGUGUCUUGGAACCAGACCCAGAGCUCUGCACCUGAUGGAGCCUGCAGGAAGGGUGGCCCCCAGUACCGGGUCCUCCAAAAGCCUUGUGUGAAUGACAGGUGCAGCUCCCGUAGAGAAUACUUGGAGAUCAGCUGCCCCAGGGCUUUGGGAAACAGCCUGUAAUGAGACACUGGGCAAAAGGGAGCGGGUGAGUGACGAUCCCCACCUCGUCGGGGUCCACACCCAGGAUCCAGAACUCCACCCAGGAAUUAGACCCCGCCCCCAAGGUUUGCCUCCACUCUACAGCCAGCUAGCAGGCACUACGGAAAUCUUUCUCUGGUCAGACCUAGCGCCCUCACCUCCUUCCCGCUGAAGCUCCGAAUCCCAGCGCGUGCGGAACUGGAAUGUGGCGGCUACAUCUCCGGAAGGCAGCGGAGUGAUGACAAGCUCCUCUCGCAGGCUGUCGCGCUGGGGUUCUGCAAGGCACCAGCCGCCGGGCCCCAGAAGCAGCAAGACAAAUAGAGCAAGCGGCAUGGCCGCCGCCAUGCCUGCGGCUACUUCCGCCUUCCCAGCGGCGCUAGCCCCCAUGGAAGGCCGGCAUCCAAUAGGAAAGGCGUAUGGGAAGUAACUUCCGGUGCCGUCCCGGAAACCGGGAUGCAGUUAUCAGAGCGACCGCCUGCGCAGGUCGCGGAGAUUGUCUCCGAGCUGGUGGGCCUAAAGGGGCACUGCGAGGACAUGAGAGGGAGUAGGCAGGACGAGUAACCAGCUUGAAGCCGCGCCCAGUUAAAGGCGAUUCCACCCACCAGGACAUACUUAAUAAUAUGAAGCUCCGUCACUGUUUUACCCAUUUAAUAGUUGAGGAAACAUUGACUGAAAAAAGUCAAUUACUUUUGGGAAAACCGUUCUGGUUUUAAAUUGCAUUUCCCAAGGUAAGAGGAACCUCCUGCCUCUUAGCUUCUAGUGUCUCCAUUUGCUGCAAAACCCCCAAAUAACUGUUUCUUUUAUUAUGAAAAUGUUGAAACAUACAGCAAAAUUGAAAGAAUGAGCACCUGUUAUAAUGAACCUGUUUCCUAUCACCUACAAACCUAGACUCUAUCAUUUAUGUUUUACUAUAUUUGUACUUUACCAUAUAUUUGUAUAUACAUCCAUCAGUCCAUCUUGUGUUUUGGUGCACUUUAAAUUGCAGACAGUGGUACAUUUUACGUAGUUCAGCAUGCAUAAAAUUAGAGUUGUUUUUGAUUGCAUUUUUCUUUUGAUGUAAAAUUCACAUACAGUGAAACGAACAAAUCCAAGGUACACAUUCACUGAGUUUUGACAAAUGCACACACCUAUGUAAUCUGGACUCCUGUCAUGAUACAGAACAUUUCUAAAAUUGGCCAGCACUCUUUCCUAGUCAAUCCCUGCUCCUCUACCACCUUCCAAAGGCAACUACUAUUCUCAUUUUUUCCCCCACAAUAGAUUGGUCUGUUCCAGAAUUAAAUAUAAAUGAAAUCAUAUAGUAUA
Callithrix jacchus (white-tufted-ear marmoset) is the source of this 1917-nucleotide non-coding RNA. The record is from RefSeq and is a predicted model, not a curated record. NCBI's taxonomy places the organism in Eukaryota, Metazoa, Chordata, Mammalia, Primates, Cebidae.